CAUAACCUUUAGCUAAACCAGUAUUAAAGGCAACGCCUGCCCAGUGAAUAAUUAAACGGCCGCGGUACCCUAACCGUGCAAAGGUAGCGUAAUCAUUUGUCUAUUAAUUGUAGACCCGUAUGAAAGGCAUAAUGAGGGUUUAACUGUCUCUUUUAGUAAAUCAAUUAAACUGAUCUCCUAGUCCAAAAGCUAGGAUACCACCAUAAGACCAGAAGACCCUGUGAAACUUUAACUAAAAUAUUAAAGCCUAUAAUAACUACUUUAGGUUGGGGCGACCUUGGAAAAUAAAAGAACUUCCACACAUAUUAUACAAUAAUAUAUAACCGGCCAACAAGCCUACAACGACCCAGCACAGCUGAUAAUUGAACCAAGCUACUCCAGGGAUAACAGCGCUAUCUUCUUCAAGAGCCCAUAUCAAAAAGAAGGUUUACGACCUCGAUGUUGGAUCAGGACAUCCUAAUGGUGCAACCGCUAUUAAGGGUUCGUUUGUUCAACGAUUAAUAGUCCUACGUG
Molecule: ribosomal RNA, 513 nt
Filed under: Hydrophis viperinus (viperine sea snake)
Lineage: Eukaryota; Metazoa; Chordata; Lepidosauria; Squamata; Elapidae
Description: partial 16S ribosomal RNA
Rfam family: Bacterial large subunit ribosomal RNA
Source: RNAcentral